GUUGGUGAACCAGCGGAGGGAUCAUUAGAGGGUCGCGAGACCUCCCUAAUACCUUCAACCAACCCGCGUACCUACCCGAGGGGGCCGCUCAGCGGCCACAACAAAUGAUGCCUCGGUCGGCGGUCCCAGGGGGGACCUCUGCCCGGCGCCCUCCGGUCACACGGGGGGCCCGGGUGCCGGCCGGCGACCCAAAAAAACAAACCUGACGUAUUAAUAUAUAUUCUUUUACAAAUGAGAAAUCAUUACAACCUGCAAUGAUGGAUCUCUUGGCUCUG
This 275-nucleotide unclassified non-coding RNA is filed under the name rhizosphere metagenome. RNAcentral describes it as "partial ribosomal RNA internal transcribed spacer region". The record is from RNAcentral.